GUCAAAUUCAUUUCUGCAUCAAAACGUGUCCGAAAAGAGAUUUGUCUGUGUUAAAAUUAAGAUUCAUUGCUUGAAGCUCAGUUCCAAGUGAAGCAUAAUUUAAGUUCAGAUCUGAAAUUAAUACCGCUACAAUGGGAAGCAUUGCGAAUGCAAUUAUCGUGCGCCAUUUCUGUCGUGUGUGCACCACUUAUAAGCGCAUCGUCACCCACUUAUAUGCAGAACGGGCACGCAGCUUGGAAAUAAUAGAGAAACUGGAAGUCGUUUAUGGUUUGGUCAUUACACCGAAUACUCCUGGACCCAAGAUGAUAUGCCUGGAAUGCCUAGAUGAAGUUCUGAAACUACAUAAAUUGUGGGAGUUAUCUUGCAGCGUGUUGGGACAAGUUGGACCCCCACAAACGAACGUCGAAGAUGCAGCCGCCAAUGGGACCGCUGGUGGAACCGCCGAUGGAACCGCCGAUGGAACCGCCGAUGGAACCGCCGAUGGAACCGCCGAUGGAACCGCCGAUGGAACCGCCGAUGGAACCGCCGAUGGAACCGCCGAUGGAACCGCCGAUGGGUCCACCGAAGUGGUUGUCUAUGGGUCCGCCAAUGGGUUUUCCGAUGGGACCGCUGGUGGAACCACCGAUGGAGCCGCCGAUGGGUCCGCCGAAGAUAAUUAACAUCACACUGAAUGAAUCUCCAUGUGAUUGGAAAGAGUCCUAACUGUGGGUAAGUCGUAUGGUUUAACUGCAAGUUUGAACGCCGCUUAUGAUCUGUUUUGUCUUUUGCAGAAGUCUAAGUUUAUUCCUCACCCUCCUGGCUCUUUCGUCUAAGCACACAGCAAAUCUUUAAUGUAUCGAAUAAAAUUCGAAUACCAACAAAACGUGAAUGGGAACAAAUGCAAAUAUCAUAUAGUCCAUAUAUAAAUAAAUACAAAAGCCCUAAAAUGUGCCAUCUUAAAUCAGAAACAUGUGAUGGCAGCAUGCAAAUGUUGAGCCCUAGAAUAACAUGGCGUGCAUCCAUGAGAAGAAAUAUUUAAUUAUUAAAGUAAAUAGCCCAGUAAGUUCAUCCGCAUUGUUAAAUGAAGGUGACCCACAAUGUUCACGCACAAAUAAAACAGAUAAUUGUAUGUUUCAAAUCAACAGAGCUCCUCCAAACAAUCCUAUUAAAUAAACCUCUUUAUAUUUCUCCA
RNAcentral lists this long non-coding RNA (1171 nucleotides) under Drosophila guanche. Lineage: Eukaryota; Metazoa; Arthropoda; Insecta; Diptera; Drosophilidae. The record is from RNAcentral.